RNAcentral lists this ribosomal RNA (478 nucleotides) under uncultured organism. RNAcentral describes it as "partial 16S ribosomal RNA". It matches the Rfam family "Bacterial small subunit ribosomal RNA", at positions 331 to 801 of the family's 1533-position model. The record is from RNAcentral.
ACGUACACUACGGGAGGCAGCAGUGGGGAAUUUUGGACAAUGGGCGAAAGCCUGAUCCAGCAAUGCCGCGUGAGUGAAGAAGGCCUUCGGGUUGUAAAGCUCUUUUGUCAGGGAAGAAACGGUGAAAGCUAAUAUCUUUUGCUAAUGACGGUACCUGAAGAAUAAGCACCGGCUAACUACGUGCCAGCAGCCGCGGUAAUACGUAGGGUGCAAGCGUUAAUCGGAAUUACUGGGCGUAAAGCGUGCGCAGGCGGUUUUGUAAGUCUGAUGUGAAAUCCCCGGGCUCAACCUGGGAAUUGCAUGGGAGACUGCAAGGCUAGAAUCUGGCAGAGGGGGGUAGAAUUCCACGUGUAGCAGUGAAAUGCGUAGAUAUGUGGAGGAACACCGAUGGCGAAGGCAGCCCCCUGGGUCAAGAUUGACGCUCAUGCACGAAAGCGUGGGGAGCAAACAGGAUUAGAAACCCUAGUAGUCCCAUGAU